RNAcentral lists this ribosomal RNA (369 nucleotides) under uncultured organism. RNAcentral's name for it is "partial 16S ribosomal RNA". It matches the Rfam family "Bacterial small subunit ribosomal RNA", at positions 529 to 896 of the family's 1533-position model. The record is from RNAcentral.
GAGGUGCAGCGUUGUCCGGAAUUAUUGGGCGUAAAGCGCGCGCAGGCGGUUCUUUAAGUCUGAUGUGAAAGCCCACGGGCUCAACCGUGGAGGGUCAUUGGAAACUGGAGAACUUGAGUACAGAAGAGGAAAGCGGAAUUCCACGUGUAGCGGUGAAAUGCGUAGAGAUGUGGAGGAACACCAGUGGCGAAGGCGGCUUUCUGGCCUGUAACUGACGCUGAGGCGCGAAAGCGUGGGGAGCAAACAGGAUUAGAUACCCUGGUAGUCCACGCCGUAAACGAUGAGUGCUAAGUGUUAGGGGGUUUCCGCCCCUUAGUGCUGCAGCUAACGCAUUAAGCACUCCGCCUGGGGAGUACGGCCGCAAGGCUG